GACGAACGCUGGCGGCGUGCUUAACACAUGCAAGUCGAACGGAAAGGCCUCUUUCGGGGGGUACUCGAGUGGCGAACGGGUGAGUAACACGUGAGUAACCUGCCCUUGACUUUGGGAUAACUUCAGGAAACUGGGGCUAAUACCGGAUAGGAGCUCCUGCUGCAUGGUGGGGGUUGGAAAGUUUCGGCGGUUGGGGAUGGACUCGCGGCUUAUCAGCUUGUUGGUGGGGUAGUGGCUUACCAAGGCUUUGACGGGUAGCCGGCCUGAGAGGGUGACCGGCCACAUUGGGACUGAGAUACGGCCCAGACUCCUACGGGAGGCAGCGGUGGGGAAUAUUGCACAAUGGGUGGAAGCCUGAUGCAGCAACGCCGUGUGCGGGAUGACGGCCUUCGGGUUGUAAACCGCUUUCGCUCAUGACGAAGCUUUGUGUGAUGGUAGUGGGUAAAGAAGCACCGGCUAACUACGUG
This 467-nucleotide ribosomal RNA is filed under the name uncultured bacterium. Its description in RNAcentral is "partial 16S ribosomal RNA". It matches the Rfam family "Bacterial small subunit ribosomal RNA", at positions 28 to 507 of the family's 1533-position model. The record is from RNAcentral.